Molecule: ribosomal RNA, 253 nt
Filed under: uncultured bacterium
Lineage: Bacteria
Description: partial 16S ribosomal RNA
Rfam family: Bacterial small subunit ribosomal RNA
Source: RNAcentral
UACGGAGGGCGCAAGCGUUGUUCGGAAUCAUUGGGCGUAAAGCGCGUGUAGGCGGUUUGGUAAGUCGGGUGUGAAAUCCCGGGGCUCAACCCCGGAACUGCAUUCGAAACUGCCUGGCUAGAGUCCCGGAGGGGAGGGCGGAAUUCCCGGUGUAGCGGUGAAAUUCGUAGAUAUCGGGAGGAACACCAGCGGCGAAGGCGGCCCUCUGGACGGUGACUGACGCUGAGACGAGAAAGCGUGGGGAGCAAACAGG